RNAcentral lists this long non-coding RNA (1302 nucleotides) under Gossypium barbadense (sea-island cotton). RNAcentral describes it as "long non-coding RNA (GBAR_LNC002652)". Lineage: Eukaryota; Viridiplantae; Streptophyta; Magnoliopsida; Malvales; Malvaceae. The record is from RNAcentral.
AAAUAUCUAUCAUUACUUUUAGUAAUUACCAGCUUUGCAACUCUUAUUCUUGAAACACUAUAAAUAGGAACCUUUCACAACUGGUGAAAAAACUUUUAGCACUAUGGCAUUCUAACUUUAAAGUUAUCUUAAUUUUUUUUUUUUUGAGAUUUAUUAUCAGUCAAAUUUCCCUUUCUCUAUCUUACCAACCACCACCUGUCGCUACGCCCAAUGUUACUGGAUAUGCUCUAGUCUUCUUUUUGUACAUCCCAUUCACUUGUUUGCAACACUACCUUUCUGCACCAAAACCCUCUACAUUUACGCUUCUUACUCCUUUAGGAAUAUAUACAUUGAUGACUCUCUAAGAGUGCAUCAUUUUUAACCAUAUUUUUAGCAUAAUUCAACCUUGUCCUUAAGCAUUCUUAAGUUUUUAGCUUAGUUUUCCUUUGUACAAGCCCAAUUUUGGGCCCAAAACCCUCUAACCCGUUUGACCCAGACCCAAAACCACUAAAUCCCUAGCCCAAAACCUAUCUUCUAACCCACUAAGCCCAACAGUAGCCCAACCCAAACACCAAAACAAAAGGAACUAAAAACCCUAGCCUAAUCAGCUGCUGCCGCCCCAUGUCAGAAUCUGGCCACCGCCUCUGCUCCACCGCCACGGUCACAUCAGUCACCCACUUGCUCCACUACCUGCAAAUAUUAAAUAGAGAGAAAAGACAGGAAGUAGAAAAGAAACAUGUAAUGGCUAUAUAUAAAGCCGAAUCAAAAACCAUGAAGGGGGUCGGCAUUUUUUAGAAUGAAAAGCAAUAUUAGAUUGUAAGAACACUAGCAAAACAAGAGAUCCAGCAAUAUCAAUAACAGAAAUACCGAGAAGCAAAGUCUAAUAACCUAAGGUGACUCGUUUUUUACUUUCUUUUUCGUCUCUAUUUCUUGGCCGAAUCCAUGUUUUAUAUAUCCAUAUAUGGAUAAACAUAUAAUAUAAACACAAAGAAGAUAAACAUAUUUCUAAAACAUAAAAAAAAGAAGGGGAAAUUUUUACCUCCGACCGCCGUGUACGGCGGUCGUCGGCGGCAGAGGACAGUGGCGGUUCGCCGGAGUACUGGCCGGCCCUGGGGUGCUUGCAGAGAAACUAAGAGAGCUGCUGAAAAAUUUUUGAAAAAAAGGAUGGAGGAAGUGAUUUUUGUCUCAAAAAAUUUGACUUUUAUAGCCUGGUAAAAUGACGCCGUUUUAGGGUGUCCUAAAGAGCCCCUAAACGACGUCGUUUUGGUGAAAAAGGGGUCGACCCGACCCGUUAAGAAGGAUCCGCGUGUUUUUGUAUAAGGG